This is a long non-coding RNA of Pipra filicauda (Wire-tailed manakin), 518 nucleotides long. RefSeq lists it as uncharacterized. Lineage: Eukaryota; Metazoa; Chordata; Aves; Passeriformes; Pipridae. The transcript is spliced from 2 exons. The record is from RefSeq and is a predicted model, not a curated record.
UUUAGGGUGGAAUCACAGCCCGGGAGGAAUUUUGGCACCCCGAGGUGAACAUUGGGCAUAGAGCCCUCCCAGAGGCAUUUUGUGUCCUUCUGCCCAUCUCCAGGAGAAAGGAAUAGCAGACACAAGGGACCUGUGGAAGAAGAAGGUAGGUGCAUUGGCAUAUCCCAAAAUUCCAUCCCUUCCUGGCCUGGAUUAAGGAUGGGAGCAGAGUUCUUUAUCAAGCCAUUCCAGGAUUCCAUGAUCCUGUUAUUCCUCAUACUCUCGGGCUUUGGCCCCAAAGGAAAUGGGAGCAGUGUGUGCAGGCAACAUUCCCUCCAUUCCCAGAGAGCAAGUCCCCAGAGCAGCAGGCAGGAAGGGGAAGGUUGGAGAAGCUGGAUUUCCUUUUCCACCUCUGCUCUGCUCCUUGGAGCACAGGGAGCUGCAGGAUGAAGGCAAAGCACCCAGAGCCAGAACCCAGGAAUGACCGAGGCUGGGACAUGAUCCCAGGGAUGAUUCCACUUAAACUCCGUGUCUGCCUG